GACGAACGCUGGCGGCGUGCUUAACACAUGCAAGUCGAACGAUGAAAGUGGAGCUUGCUCCGCUGGAUUAGUGGCGAACGGGUGAGUAACACGUGGGCAACCUGCCCCAGACUCUGGGAUAACUCCUCGAAAGAGGUGCUAAUACCGGAUACGAACUCCUUGGGCAUCCUUGGAGUUGGAAAGUUUUUCGGUCUGGGAUGGGCCCGCGGCCUAUCAGCUUGUUGGUGGGGUAGUGGCCCACCAAGGCGACGACGGGUAGCCGGCCUGAGAGGGCGACCGGCCACACUGGGACUGAGACACGGCCCAGACUCCUACGGGGGGCAGCAGUGGGGAAUAUUGCGCAAGGGGCGAAAGCCUGACGCAGCGACGCCGCGUGAGGGAUGACGGCCUUCGGGUUGUAAACCUCUUUCAGCAGGGAAGAAGCGAAAGUGACGGUACCUGCAGAAGAAGCACCGGCUAACUACGUGCCAGCAGCCGCCGUAA
RNAcentral lists this ribosomal RNA (483 nucleotides) under uncultured bacterium. RNAcentral's name for it is "partial 16S ribosomal RNA". It matches the Rfam family "Bacterial small subunit ribosomal RNA", at positions 28 to 523 of the family's 1533-position model. The record is from RNAcentral.